UUAGCCCUAAACACAAAUAAUUAUAAAAACAAAAUUAUUCGCCAGAGUACUACCGGCAACAGCCUAAAACUCAAAGGACUUGGCGGUGCUUUACACCCUUCUAGAGGAGCCUGUUCUAUAAUCGAUAAACCCCGAUAGACCUCACCAAUUCUUGCUAAUACAGUCUAUAUACCGCCAUCUUCAGCAAACCCUAAAAAGGAACAAAAGUAAGCAUAAUCACAACACAUAAAAACGUUAGGUCAAGGUGUAACCUAUGAAAUGGGAAGAAAUGGGCUACAUUUUCUACCACAAGAAAAUCACACGAAAGUUAUUAUGAAACUAAUAACCAAAGGAGGAUUUAGUAGUAAACUAAGAAUAGAGUGCUUAGUUGAAUUAGGCCAUGAAGCACGC
RNAcentral lists this ribosomal RNA (390 nucleotides) under Cephalophorus ogilbyi (Ogilby's duiker). Its description in RNAcentral is "partial 12S ribosomal RNA". It matches the Rfam family "Bacterial small subunit ribosomal RNA", at positions 796 to 1384 of the family's 1533-position model. Lineage: Eukaryota; Metazoa; Chordata; Mammalia; Artiodactyla; Bovidae. The record is from RNAcentral. RNAcentral also lists the same sequence under 1 other name.